RNAcentral lists this long non-coding RNA (802 nucleotides) under Olea europaea (common olive). Its description in RNAcentral is "long non-coding RNA (OEUR_LNC001826)". The record is from RNAcentral. Lineage: Eukaryota; Viridiplantae; Streptophyta; Magnoliopsida; Lamiales; Oleaceae.
AAAAACUAGUAGCAAUUGUCAAUUUGUGCAGUCUACUACAAAAUUUCAAUCCCUCAUGCUCUCCCUUGAAGUCUUAUACCCAGCACCAGCAGCCCCAGUCCUUGCCCUGCUUCCACCCAUCGACGAUAACUAACCUCUCCGCCAAUGGCCUCCUGCUUUGCCACUGCUUCAGUGUUGAGAGUUAGGCAUCAGUGAGUCUGCUUUCUCCCUCUCUCCCCUUUUUUUUUUUUUUGUUCUUUUAAAGUUUAGUUCAUUUUUAUUAUUAUCAUUUGUGAUUUAUAUUUUAUGAAUUAUUUUUACGAGUUAUGGAAAUGAUUGUGAGCCUAUAGUGUUAAUUGUACGGAUUUUGAUUUUUGUGAAUUUGAGAAUUGGAGAUUUUGUGAAUUUGAUAAUAUUGGGGAUUUUGUAUUGAAUGAUGAUGUUUAUGAUUUAUGAAAGUUGGGAAUUUGAGAAUAUUUGAUAUAUGAAAUUAUAUCGAUAAAUUGGAGUAUUUGUAUGGUAAAUAAUAAAUUGAAGAAUUUUUAAUAUUAUUUGAUUAAAUAUUAAUAAAUAACUUCGCUAGUAGUUAUUAGAUCAUUGACUAUCGACGAUUCAACGAUUAAUGGUCAAUGGCUACCCUAGCUGACAUCCAAUUUUGGAUUCGUAACUAAUCAGGAGGAAAAGACGGAAAGAAGCUGAGGAUGCAGUGGAAGAAACAAAAGUCCAUAAACAGUAAAAAUGAAAUGAUGGGAGAGAGAUGGUAGAGAAAAAUUAUUUCAGUAAGAGAGAAAAUUUUAAUUAAUACCGAUUUUUUGCAUAAAAC